Molecule: ribosomal RNA, 493 nt
Filed under: uncultured bacterium
Lineage: Bacteria
Description: partial 16S ribosomal RNA
Rfam family: Bacterial small subunit ribosomal RNA
Source: RNAcentral
ACGCACGCUGGCGGCGUGCUUAACACAUGCCAGUCGAACGGUGAAGCGCCUUCCUUUUUGGUGGGUGUGGAUGAGUGGCGAACGGGUGAGUAACACGUGAGUAACCUGCCCCCUUCUUCUGGAUAACCGCAUGAAAGUGUGGCUAAUACGGGAUAUUCUGGGUCUGUCGCAUGAUGGGUCUGGGAAAGAUAUUGUUUCGGUGGGGGAUGGGCUCGCGGCCUAUCAGCUUGUUGGUGGGGUGAUGGCCUACCAAGGCGGUGACGGGUAGCCGGCCUGAGAGGGUGGACGGUCACACUGGGACUGAGACACGGCCCAGACUCCUACGGGAGGCAGCAGUGGGGAAUAUGGCACAAUGGGCGCAAGCCUGAUGCAGCGACGCCGCGUGAGGGAUGGAGGCCUUCGGGUUGUGAACCUCUUUCGCCAGUGAAGCAGGCCUGCCUCGUUUGUGGGUGGGUUGACGGUAGCCGGAUAAGAAGCGCCGGCUAACUACGUG